GGGCAGCAGUGAGGAAUAUUGGACAAUGGGCGAGAGCCUGAUCCAGCCAUGCCGCGUGCAGGAAGACGGUCCUAUGGAUUGUAAACUGCUUUUAUACGGGAAGAAACACCCCCUCGUGAGGGGGCUUGACGGUACCGUAAGAAUAAGGAUCGGCUAACUCCGUGCCAGCAGCCGCGGUAAUACGGAGGAUCCAAGCGUUAUCCGGAAUCAUUGGGUUUAAAGGGUCCGUAGGUGGAUAAUUAAGUCAGAGGUGAAAUCCUGCAGCUCAACUGUAGAAUUGCCUUUGAUACUGGUUAUCUUGAAUUAUUAUGAAGUAGUUAGAAUAUGUAGUGUAGCGGUGAAAUGCAUAGAUAUUACAUAGAAUACCAAUUGCGAAGGCAGAUUACUAAUAAUGGAUUGACACUGAUGGACGAAAGCGUGGGGAGCGAACAGGAUUAGAUACCCGGGUAGUC
RNAcentral lists this ribosomal RNA (452 nucleotides) under uncultured Flavobacteriaceae bacterium. RNAcentral's name for it is "bacterial SSU rRNA". It matches the Rfam family "Bacterial small subunit ribosomal RNA", at positions 346 to 795 of the family's 1533-position model. The record is from RNAcentral. Lineage: Bacteria; Pseudomonadati; Bacteroidota; Flavobacteriia; Flavobacteriales; Flavobacteriaceae.